UACGAGGGGGGCGAGCGUUGUUCGGAAUUAUUGGGCGUAAAGGGUGCGUAGGCGGUUCCGCAAGUCCUGUGUGAAAUCUUCGGGCUCAACUCGAAGUCUGCACGGGAAACUGCGGGGCUUGGGUGUGGGAGAGGGUGAGUGGGAAGUUCCCGGUGUAGCGGUGAAAUGCGUAGAUAUCGGGAGGAACACCUGUGGCGAAAGCGGCUCACUGGACCAUAACUGACGGCUGAUGCACGAAAGCUGGGGGGAGCAAACAGG
Molecule: ribosomal RNA, 258 nt
Filed under: uncultured bacterium
Lineage: Bacteria
Description: partial 16S ribosomal RNA
Rfam family: Bacterial small subunit ribosomal RNA
Source: RNAcentral